AUACGUAGGUGGCAAGCGUUGUCCGGAAUUAUUGGGCGUAAAGCGCGCGCGGGCGGUUUCUUAAGUCUGAUGUGAAAGCCCCCGGCUCAACCGGGGAGGGUCAUUGGAAACUGGGAGACUUGAGUGCAGGAGAGGGAAGUGGAAUUCCAUGUGUAGCGGUGAAAUGCGUAGAGAUAUGGAGGAACACCAGUGGCGAAGGCGGCUUCCUGGCCUGUAACUGACGCUGAGGCGCGAAAGCGUGGGGAGCAAACAGGAUUAGAUACCCUGGUAGUCCACGCCGUAAACGAUGAGUGCUAGGUGUUAGGGGGUUUCCGCCCCUUAGUGCUGCAGCUAACGCAUUAAGCACUCCGCCUGGGGAGUACGGUCGCAAGACUGAA
Molecule: ribosomal RNA, 377 nt
Filed under: uncultured bacterium
Lineage: Bacteria
Description: bacterial SSU rRNA
Rfam family: Bacterial small subunit ribosomal RNA
Source: RNAcentral